Long non-coding RNA from Grammomys surdaster, 205 nucleotides. RefSeq lists it as uncharacterized. The record is from RefSeq and is a predicted model, not a curated record. Lineage: Eukaryota; Metazoa; Chordata; Mammalia; Rodentia; Muridae. The transcript is spliced from 3 exons.
AUGUAACCUCUCGAACCAGCCUCGAAUGGCUGGGCGGGGAGCAGACUGGAGGGUCCGCUUCUGCUCCAGCCUCCAAAGGCGGUUGAUGUUCCUGGGAGGCCUGAUAUUUUCUGAGAGAGAAAGAGGAGUAGAACUUGGAGAAAAGAGAGGGAAUCUUAUAUUCAAAGUCAUGGCCAAAAAAGAAAAAAGAAAUCAUCAUGUUUAG